UACCAUGCAAGUCGAGCGGUAGCACAGAGAGCUUGCUCUCGGGUGACGAGCGGCGGACGGGUGAGUAAUGUCUGGGAAACUGCCUGAUGGAGGGGGAUAACUACUGGAAACGGUAGCUAAUACCGCAUAACGUCGCAAGACCAAAGUGGGGGACCUUCGGGCCUCAUGCCAUCAGAUGUGCCCAGAUGGGAUUAGCUGGUAGGUGGGGUAACGGCUCACCUAGGCGACGAUCCCUAGCUGGUCUGAGAGGAUGACCAGCCACACUGGAACUGAGACACGGUCCAGACUCCUACGGGAGGCAGCAGUGGGGAAUAUUGCACAAUGGGCGCAAGCCUGAUGCAGCCAUGCCGCGUGUGUGAAGAAGGCUUCGGGUUGUAAAGCACUUUCAGCGGGGAGGAAGCGUGAGGUUAUACCUCA
Molecule: ribosomal RNA, 417 nt
Filed under: Klebsiella pneumoniae
Lineage: Bacteria; Pseudomonadati; Pseudomonadota; Gammaproteobacteria; Enterobacterales; Enterobacteriaceae
Description: bacterial SSU rRNA
Rfam family: Bacterial small subunit ribosomal RNA
Source: RNAcentral